GUAGUCCACGCUGUAAACGAUGAGUGCUGGAUGUGGGGGUUUUUACCUCCGUGUUGUAGCUAACGCGUUAAGCACUCCGCCUGGGGACUACGGUCGCAAGACUAAAACUCAAAGGAAUUGACGGGGACCCGCACAAGCGGUGGAGCAUGUGGUUUAAUUCGAUGCAACGCGAAGAACCUUACCACUUCUUGACAUGAAGAUUAGAUCCUCCUUAACAGGAGGGCGCAGUUCGGCUGGGUCUUGCACAGGUGCUGCAUGGCUGUCGUCAGCUCGUGUCGUGAGAUGUUGGGUUAAGUCCCGCAACGAGCGUAACCCUCACUCUUAGUUGCCAGCGGGUAAUGCCGGGUACUUUAAGAGAACUGCCAGUGGUAAGCUGGAGGAAGGUGGGGAUGAUGUCAAGUCAGCAUGGCCCUUAUGGGGUGGGCUACACACGUGCUACAAUGGUGACUACAAUAGGUUGCAAUGCCGCAAGGCUGAGCUAAUCCGGUAAAAGUCAUCUUAGUUCGGAUUGUCCUCUGAAACUCGAGGGCAUGAAGCAGGAAUCGCUAGUAAUCGUGGAUCAGCAUGCCACGGUGAAUACGUUCUCGGGUCUUGUACAC
RNAcentral lists this ribosomal RNA (599 nucleotides) under Anaplasma bovis. RNAcentral describes it as "bacterial SSU rRNA". It matches the Rfam family "Bacterial small subunit ribosomal RNA", at positions 790 to 1388 of the family's 1533-position model. The record is from RNAcentral. Lineage: Bacteria; Pseudomonadati; Pseudomonadota; Alphaproteobacteria; Rickettsiales; Anaplasmataceae.